This 3332-nucleotide unclassified non-coding RNA is filed under the name Pectinophora gossypiella (pink bollworm). RNAcentral's name for it is "nK-tumor recognition protein-like". Lineage: Eukaryota; Metazoa; Arthropoda; Insecta; Lepidoptera; Gelechiidae. The record is from RNAcentral.
AAAGGAACGUGACAAGAAAUUGGCUGAAGACCCAAUGUUAGAACAGUUAUUUAUUAGAGAUGCUAGUAUUCAUGAGGCUCCGUCAAGUCGCUAGAGGAUUUUUUAAGAAUUGUGGAAAUGAAGGACAAGCCAGUGUCGGAACAUCCCUGGAGCAAAUCUAUAAAGGACAAGUAUUCACAUAAGAUCAAACGCGCACACAACACAAUUAAUAAUAUUGUGUAUCCUGCGCCUAAGAAGAAACGUCGUGAUUCACAACGCAUUAAGUUCACCGUGAUAGGCAACAGAGUGACCAAGGAAUUCAUCUACUGCGCCAAUAUGGUCCAGGGCAUGCAUAAGUAUCGAUCGAGAAAAUUCGACGCGCCUGUUAUAAAAGGUGUGACAGGAGUAGAAUGGCCUCACGUGUUGAACGACCUGAAGAUUCAAUAUGGCAGUCCUGCUCACUGCCUGCGUAGCGAAGUGGCUGUCAUAUAUAACGACGGUUUCCUCGGAGGAGAUCAAGAACUGAAGGACCUGAUAGAAACGAGAUACCUGUAUCAUCUGGUGUUGAAUUACCAGAAAGAGAGCACGCAAAAUUUCGUCAAUUUCGUGAAAGCUUCAGGUAGAUCGUGUGCCUACCUUCAUAUUUCAAUCGACGAGAAGCCGAUAGGAACUUUAAUUUUUAUGUUAUAUGACGAUAUAGUUCCGAAUACGUGCGAGAACUUUCUUCGUCUCUGCAAGCAGACCAAGGGUGGAUAUUCUGGAACUCCAGUGCACCGCAUUGUUAAGGACGGUUGGAUCCAGGGAGGAGGAUUCGCUCUAAAACAGACAUAUUUAACUUGCGAAAACUUUGCGAUUCCAAACGACAAGAGAGGCGUCCUUGGGAUGGCGAAUGCUGGCAGACACAUAGACUGCUCAACUCAGUUCUAUGUAUUGUUACAACCUUCGGAGUGGAUGAAUGCCCGAUUUGUGGCUUUUGGGCAACUAAUUGAUGGUGAAAAAACCCUGCAAGAAAUAGAGAAAGUAAACACGUACUACGAAUCGCCCACUAGUCAGAUUAUUAUUCACAGGGCUGGUAUUCUAAACUUAGACUGCAAAAAUAUUACAAUAAACAAAAACACCAACGAAUAUAUACAAAAACACAUCGAGGAUCUUGUUCAAAUAGCAGACAUUUUCUAUGAGAUGCUCAUGGAACGCGUAUUCCUGGAGAUAGAGUUCAGAAGAAUCGCUAAAUUAGAAGAAAAAGGAGGAGAAAGUGAAGCGAAACCCGGUGAAGAGCAACUCGCUGAAGGUGAAGCUGUGGGCGAAGAUGGACAGAAAGACGUUCGACCCACGAAGAGAUUCGUGCAUAAAAAACGGGACGUGCCAGAAGACAAGCCUCCACCAGAAACACGCUUGUCCAGCAAAGCCAGUAAAUCCAAGUCUCAUUCACGAAUGUCCAGCAGUAAAGUUCGUAAACAUAAGAAUGAAGAUGAAAAUAAGGAAGACGUUGAAAACAAUGAGUUUGACGUUGAGGAUUAUGAGUACGAGCCAGAAGAGUUCCAGUACUCGCAAGUCUCACCCGGGCCUCCUCCCACUCCUAAACCUGAGAAGCCGUAUUACUUGGCGAUGACUGAUGUGCCUUACCCUGGCGAAGUCGACUCUAACUUUGAUUUGAAGAGAUUCCUUCAAGGCGAUUAUUGCUUAGAAUAUGAUUUGGAUCCUAAACGCCCGAAGCAGAUUCAAGAAGUAGAAAAUAAGAAGGUGAAUGUACUGAACGCUAUUUCGGAAAUCAUCGAGUCGUAUAAAGUUUCUGACAGCGAUGAGGACGAGGAAUCAUCAUCAGAAGAGGAUUUAGAUUCCGACGAUGAAAGAGAGAUAAAGAAAUACUUAAAGGACUAUGCUGAACACGUCAGUUUUUCCGGACAUCUAGUAAGGAAGAUAGCGAGGAACUACGUCAAAGAUAAUCCUAUUGAAGAUAAGGAACCACACGAGCGUUUCACAGAUGAAGAGGUCAGGAGGCUUAAAUUGGUCUACACGGAUUUCAAAUCUCGUGAUGUAAAAAAAGUGUCUAUAGCUGCGGAGCCUUGGGAAACUCAUGCUCAAAUUACGCGCAGACCAACAGGCUUCGUACGGCCUAUUGAUCUGUCCAAAAUCGGGCACAUCCAAGAUGCCGAUGAAGAGGAAGAUGGAAGUGAUAAACCAACGACUGAACGACAAAAACGGACGACCGGACAGAGAAAAGUGUCAAUUGCUGUGCCCUCUGAAUCUACCUCUAAAGCUAUAAAACGAAGACAAACAGGCUUCGUGCGACCUGAGGACGUGGCAAAAAUCCUCAAGUACAAGGAGCACAUAGAGCGGGACGACGAAGAUGACGAGGACGUCGAUGACGACGACGACAGUGACGUUGACGGACCGAGCGUUGACGACGAAGACAGCGCAACGAAACUACCUAAAGUUCGAAUCGCCACGCAACCGGCGUCGGCACACCCGACGGUAAAGCGGCCUCGACAAGUGUCUAUAGAUGUCCAUGACGACAAGAACAAGUCGACCAGACCCUCGGUUCUGGUGCGACUUUAUGACGACGUCGCAUUCGAUGACGAUGAGCCUGUACCCACGCUGAAGGAGUACAAGCCUUUGUCCGAAAUUAAAUUAAAAAAGAUGAUGUUAACAACUUCGGCAAACGACGACCUUAUAGGUUACGACUAUCUCAAAAGGGACAUCUCCUACUUCCGACCGUCGUCAACCGACUACUCAGUCGACCAGAUUCUCAAUUUGCAACACGGAAGAAAAGUCCAUAGGAAGAUAUCAUCAGACUACGUGAAGACCAUAGAUCAGAUAGAACGUAGGGGUGAGACGUCGUUGCGAAUGGUAGAGUUCGCCAGGACGCGGCCGUCCCUCUCCGUGUCACAGUAUCAGCUGAAAAAUCAACUGCACGCAAUGGAGGAACAGAGGAGAAAAAUGGAAGAAGAGGAAGAAGCUAAAAAGCAUCCGCAUCAUCAAAAGGAUACGAAGGAUAAGAAACACGCUGGUACAGGAGCGAUGGGGUUACGGUUGCCUGGAGACACGCCGCUCUAUGGAAGUCAUCAGACGUUAUCAAAUGUGGAAGGCGAACAGCCUCAUCUAUUUAUAAAUUGAAAAGAAAUAAGUUUUAUUUUCACAAGACUUACAAGUCUGUAAAUGUACUGUAAUAAUAUAUUUACCAUGUGGAUAUAAUCCAUAAGGAUCAAAUCCUUGGUGACACCUACAUCUAAAUCCUAAAGAAGCCCCACAAAGUAAUAUAGUGUUUUGUUUUGUGUAUUCUUUGAGGAUUUAGACAUUGGUAACUUUACAUGUUUGGCUAUGUUUAGUUUGGAAUAGAAAGUAUUUGAUUUUUA